AAAUUGAAGAGUUUGAUCAUGGCUCAGAUUGAACGCUGGCGGCAGGCUUAACACAUGCAAGUCGAACGGUAGCAGGAAGGAAGCUUGCUUUCUUUGCUGACGAGUGGCGGACGGGUGAGUAAUGCUUGGGGAUCUGGCUUAUGGAGGGGGAUAACGACGGGAAACUGUCGCUAAUACCGCGUAAUGUCUAAGGACUAGAGGGUGGGACUUUCGGGCCACCUGCCAUAAGAUGAGCCCAAGUGGGAUUAGGUAGUUGGUGGGGUAAAGGCCUACCAAGCCGACGAUCUCUAGCUGGUCUGAGAGGAUGACCAGCCACACUGGAACUGAGACACGGUCCAGACUCCUACGGGAGGCAGCAGUGGGGAAUAUUGCACAAUGGGGGGAACCCUGAUGCAGCCAUGCCGCGUGAAUGAAGAAGGCCUUCGGGUUGUAAAGUUCUUUCGGUGAUGAGGAAGGGUGAUGUUUUAAUAGAACAUUACAUUGACGUUAGUCACAGAAGAAGCACCGGCUAACUCCGUGCCAGCAGCCGCGGUAAUACGGAGGGUGCGAGCGUUAAUCGGAAUGACUGGGCGUAAAGGGCACGCAGGCGGUGACUUAAGUGAGAUGUGAAAGCCCCGAGCUUAACUUGGGAAUUGCAUUUCAUACUGGGU
This 650-nucleotide ribosomal RNA is filed under the name Glaesserella parasuis. RNAcentral's name for it is "bacterial SSU rRNA". It matches the Rfam family "Bacterial small subunit ribosomal RNA", at positions 1 to 638 of the family's 1533-position model. The record is from RNAcentral. Lineage: Bacteria; Pseudomonadati; Pseudomonadota; Gammaproteobacteria; Pasteurellales; Pasteurellaceae.